Molecule: ribosomal RNA, 440 nt
Filed under: uncultured bacterium
Lineage: Bacteria
Description: partial 16S ribosomal RNA
Rfam family: Bacterial small subunit ribosomal RNA
Source: RNAcentral
CCUACGGGAGGCAGCAGUGGGGAAUAUUGCACAAUGGGGGGAACCCUGAUGCAGCGACGCCGCGUGAGUGAAGAAGUAUUUCGGUAUGUAAAGCUCUAUCAGCAGGGAAGAAAAUGACGGUACCUGACUAAGAAGCCCCGGCUAACUACGUGCCAGCAGCAGCGGUAAUACGUAGGGGGCAAGCGUUAUCCGGAUUUACUGGGGGUAAAGGGAUCGCCGACGGCUGUGCAACUCUGGAGUGAAAGGCUGGGGCCCAACCCCCGGACUGCUCGGGAAACUGUAAAGCUGGAGUGCAGGAGAGGUAAGCGGAAUCCCUAGUGUAGCGGUGAAAGGCGUAGAUAUUAGGAGGAACACCAGUGGCGAAGGCGGCUUACUGGACUGCAACUGACGUUGAGGCUCGAAAGCGUGGGGAGCAAACAGGAUUAGAUACCCCUGUAGUC